RNAcentral lists this ribosomal RNA (468 nucleotides) under uncultured bacterium. RNAcentral's name for it is "partial 16S ribosomal RNA". It matches the Rfam family "Bacterial small subunit ribosomal RNA", at positions 28 to 507 of the family's 1533-position model. The record is from RNAcentral.
GACGAACGCUGGCGGCGUGCUUAACACAUGCAAGUCGAACGGAAAGGCCCUGCUUUUGUGGGGUGCUCGAGUGGCGAACGGGUGAGUAACACGUGAGUAACCUGCCCUUGACUUUGGGAUAACUUCAGGAAACUGGGGCUAAUACCGGAUAGGAGCUCCUGCUGCAUGGUGGGGGUUGGAAAGUUUCGGCGGUUGGGGAUGGACUCGCGGCUUAUCAGCUUGUUGGUGGGGUAGUGGCUUACCAAGGCUGUGACGGGUAGCCGGCCUGAGAGGGUGACCGGCCACAUUGGGACUGAGAUACGGCCCAGACUCCUACGGGACGCAGCAGGGGGGAAUAUUGCACAAUGAGCGGAAGCCUGAUGCAGCAACGCCGCGUGCGGGAUGACGGCCUUCGGGUUGUAAACCGCUUUCGCCUGUGACGAAGCGUGAGUGACGGUAAUGGGUAAAGAAGCACCGGCUAACUACGUG